This 253-nucleotide ribosomal RNA is filed under the name uncultured bacterium. RNAcentral's name for it is "partial 16S ribosomal RNA". It matches the Rfam family "Bacterial small subunit ribosomal RNA", at positions 524 to 776 of the family's 1533-position model. The record is from RNAcentral.
AACGUAGGUACCGAGCGUUAUCCGGAUUUACUGGGCGUAAAGCGCGUUCAGGCGGUUUGACAAGUCGGGCAUGAAAUCUCUCGGCUCAACCGGGAGAGGUUGUCCGAUACUGUCAGACUUGAGGGCAGUAGAGGGUGGUGGAAUUCCGGGUGUAGUGGUGAAAUGCGUAGAUAUCCGGAGGAACACCAGGGGCGAAAGCGGCCACCUGGACUGUACCUGACGCUCAAACGCGAAAGCUAGGGGAGCGAACAGG